Molecule: ribosomal RNA, 1027 nt
Filed under: Escherichia coli
Lineage: Bacteria; Pseudomonadati; Pseudomonadota; Gammaproteobacteria; Enterobacterales; Enterobacteriaceae
Description: partial 23S ribosomal RNA
Rfam family: Bacterial large subunit ribosomal RNA
Source: RNAcentral
CGGGACACGUGGUAUCCUGUCUGAAUAUGGGGGGACCAUCCUCCAAGGCUAAAUACUCCUGACUGACCGAUAGUGAACCAGUACCGUGAGGGAAAGGCGAAAAGAACCCCGGCGAGGGGAGUGAAAAAGAACCUGAAACCGUGUACGUACAAGCAGUGGGAGCACGCUUAGGCGUGUGACUGCGUACCUUUUGUAUAAUGGGUCAGCGACUUAUAUUCUGUAGCAAGGUUAACCGAAUAGGGGAGCCGAAGGGAAACCGAGUCUUAACUGGGCGUUAAGUUGCAGGGUAUAGACCCGAAACCCGGUGAUCUAGCCAUGGGCAGGUUGAAGGUUGGGUAACACUAACUGGAGGACCGAACCGACUAAUGUUGAAAAAUUAGCGGAUGACUUGUGGCUGGGGGUGAAAGGCCAAUCAAACCGGGAGAUAGCUGGUUCUCCCCGAAAGCUAUUUAGGUAGCGCCUCGUGAAUUCAUCUCCGGGGGUAGAGCACUGUUUCGGCAAGGGGGUCAUCCCGACUUACCAACCCGAUGCAAACUGCGAAUACCGGAGAAUGUUAUCACGGGAGACACACGGCGGGUGCUAACGUCCGUCGUGAAGAGGGAAACAACCCAGACCGCCAGCUAAGGUCCCAAAGUCAUGGUUAAGUGGGAAACGAUGUGGGAAGGCCCAGACAGCCAGGAUGUUGGCUUAGAAGCAGCCAUCAUUUAAAGAAAGCGUAAUAGCUCACUGGUCGAGUCGGCCUGCGCGGAAGAUGUAACGGGGCUAAACCAUGCACCGAAGCUGCGGCAGCGACGCUUAUGCGUUGUUGGGUAGGGGAGCGUUCUGUAAGCCUGUGAAGGUGUGCUGUGAGGCAUGCUGGAGGUAUCAGAAGUGCGAAUGCUGACAUAAGUAACGAUAAAGCGGGUGAAAAGCCCGCUCGCCGGAAGACCAAGGGUUCCUGUCCAACGUUAAUCGGGGCAGGGUGAGUCGACCCCUAAGGCGAGGCCGAAAGGCGUAGUCGAUGGGAAACAGGUUAAUAUUCCUGUAC